This 492-nucleotide ribosomal RNA is filed under the name uncultured bacterium. RNAcentral's name for it is "partial 16S ribosomal RNA". It matches the Rfam family "Bacterial small subunit ribosomal RNA", at positions 29 to 507 of the family's 1533-position model. The record is from RNAcentral.
AGUGAACGCUGGCGGUAGGCCUAACACAUGCAAGUCGAACGGCAGCACAGUAAGAGCUUGCUCUUACGGGUGGCGAGUGGCGGACGGGUGAGGAAUACAUCGGAAUCUACUUUUUCGUGGGGGAUAACGUAGGGAAACUUACGCUAAUACCGCAUACGACCUACGGGUGAAAGCAGGGGAUCUUCGGACCUUGCGCGAUUGAAUGAGCCGAUGUCGGAUGAGCUAGUUGGCGGGGUAAAGGCCCACCAAGGCGACGAUCCGUAGCUGGUCUGAGAGGAUGAUCAGCCACACUGGAACUGAGACACGGUCCAGACUCCUAAGGGAGGCAGCGGUGGGGAAUGUUGGACAAUGGGCGCAAGCCUGAUCCAGCCAUACCGCGUGGGUGAAGAAGGCCUUCGGGUUGUAAAGCCCUUUUGUUGGGAAAGAAAAGCAGCAGGUUAAUACCCCGCUGUUCUGACGGUACCCAAAGAAUAAGCACCGGCUAACUUCGUG